GGUUCCGUGGUGUAGCGGUUAUCACGUCUGCUUUACACGCAGGACGUCCCCGGUUCGAUCCCGAGCGGAACCA
This is a non-coding RNA of Schistocerca nitens (vagrant locust), 73 nucleotides long. The record is from the annotation of a RefSeq genome assembly. Lineage: Eukaryota; Metazoa; Arthropoda; Insecta; Orthoptera; Acrididae.